This 729-nucleotide long non-coding RNA is filed under the name Pongo abelii (Sumatran orangutan). Its description in RNAcentral is "lincRNA". The record is from RNAcentral. Lineage: Eukaryota; Metazoa; Chordata; Mammalia; Primates; Hominidae.
GGGUGAUUAAACAGUGGUUCUCAAAGUAUGGACCUCCGACCAGCAGCAUCAGCAGCAUCUGGAUACUUGCUAGAAAUGCAAAUUCUCUGGCCCUAUUCCAGGCCUUCCAAGUUGGAAACUUUGUGAUGGGGCCCAGCACUCUGUGUUUUAACAAGCCCUCUAGACUUAUGGAAAACAACUCUGAGGACUCUUUGGACAAGACUCUGAAACAUACCAACUGUGUAUUUUCCUGCCUUUGGUAAAUCUGGAGCUAUUAACUGAUUCUAAAGAACAUUUGACUUAAAAAGACUAUGUAAAGCCCAAAGAAUAAAGGGACACUUGUCAUUGGAUUGAAGGCAUAUUCUAAUUUAGGACAAUGUCUUGAGAUCUUUAACUUAAUUACAUUUGCAAAGACCCAAUUUCCAAGUAACUGGAACAUUUUAGAUAAUGAAGACCCCAGUGGAUUAUUAUUAGCAAAUGAAAACUGGAUAUCAAGAAGGGCAAAAUCUUCAACCUUAUCAGGAGAAAGAGUUUAUGUAAAAAUAUACAUAGAAUAACUAAAAAAAUAAGCAAGUGAUACCUUAUCUGAGCUCAAAAUAUCUGUUUCUUUGCAAAUGGAUAAAGGAUUUAUUAUAUUAUAGCACCUUGAGGACAGAGACUUUAUGUUUCUAACUACCCAUCCCAGCAUCAUCUAGUUCAUUCCUAUGCUGAACAGCCCCUAACACAUUGCCUAAAUAAAUACUAACAUUA